This 431-nucleotide ribosomal RNA is filed under the name Fusobacterium sp. oral taxon A11. RNAcentral describes it as "bacterial SSU rRNA". It matches the Rfam family "Bacterial small subunit ribosomal RNA", at positions 28 to 456 of the family's 1533-position model. Lineage: Bacteria; Fusobacteriati; Fusobacteriota; Fusobacteriia; Fusobacteriales; Fusobacteriaceae. The record is from RNAcentral.
GAUGAACGCUGACAGAAUGCUUAACACAUGCAAGUCAACUUGAAUUUGGGUUUUUUAACUUAGAUUUGGGUGGCGGACGGGUGAGUAACGCGUAAAGAACUUGCCUCACAGCUAGGGACAACAUUUGGAAACGAAUGCUAAUACCUGAUAUUAUGAUUAUAAGGCAUCUUAGAAUUAUGAAAGCUAUAUGUGCUGUGAGAGAGCUUUGCGUCCCAUAGCUAGUUGGAGAGGUAACGGCUCACCAAGGCGAUGAUGGGUAGCCGGCCUGAGAGGGUGAACGGCCACAAGGGGACUGAGACACGGCCCUUACUCCUACGGGAGGCAGCAGUGGGGAAUAUUGGACAAUGGACCAAGAGUCUGAUCCAGCAAUUCUGUGUGCACGAUGACGUUUUUCGGAAUGUAAAGUGCUUUCAGUUGGGAAGAAAAAAAUG